GUCAACAUUGUCCGAGUGGGUGGGCAUCCGGGGCGGGAGGAACCCUGUGGGGAGGGCGGCAUCCCCACCCCGGGAGGCCGCUUCCUGCGAAAGGCCUGUGGGAACCUUGGGAAGUAAGUAACCCGAAUAAGAGGGCACAGGGGCCUCCACAGGUGUGACCGGUGCUCAGUGGCUCAGGGAGGGUCAAGGAUGCGUCGAUGGCCACCGUGAACGGGGGCUAGGUGGUGGGUUCACAGCUAACAGGACUAUCCUGGCCAGGUGGUCGGGCCGGGCGGCCCUCACUGUGCCUGGGCGACCCGCCUGGACGGCCGCGGACGGGACGUGAGGUGACCGGUGUGCGGCUUCGAAAGGAAAUCGACGCCGGACUCGUGACCUGACCGCAGCUAGCAACGUGCCGUGAGAUGGCCCCGGACUCUAGAGGGGGGCUUACCUCGUCUCCAGCGCUGGCAACGUCAUCAUCACCGCCGUCGGCACAACCUCCGCGUCCUCCAUCGUCACCUUCACCACCACCACAUUAACGUUGUCAAAUGUCUCCCGUUUGGGGGGUAAUGACCGGCUAUUUGCUCCCCCCAGGUACCCUCUUAUCCGAGACAGGAACCCCCGUUCUUUCCACCCCACGCUCUGCCCCAGGGAGCUGCCCAGCGGGUGGGUGACUUUGCCCACCUGACUCCCUCACCCUCUAGCUUCCGGCCGGGACUUUCGGCCAAGCAGGAAGAGUAGAGGACGUCAUACGGAGGAAAGCGUGUGGGGAGGGCUACGUUUUCUCCUUCACCCCCCCCCGUGAGGAGAGGAGCUGCCAUCAGGCCUGAGGCCCUGGCCCUCGCUCGGUAACAAGCAUCCUUCCCAGACCCCUUCGGCCUGGGGGUGGUCAUAGCUGCCGCCCUCACAGGUCCACUGAUUCUGCGGCGGCUCUGGUGGUUUCCCUCAACCCUGGCAGCACCUCCGAAAAUGCUCUUUUCAUGAACAAGCCUCUUUUCUCCCAUAAGCGGGCCAUCUGUUUCCUGCCUAUUCUGAGAGACACCAGCCUCGUGGCGUGCCAGGCGCCUCACAUGUGGUCCCAGCGGCACCUGUACAAAGCCCCCAGCAAAGCAUCUGGCAGCACCUGUGCCUGGGGCAUCUGGGCUGAGUUCAGGGACACGGCCUGCCCCAGGGGGCCCCGGGGGCCUAGGAGACAGGCAGGGCCUCAGCCAGACGGAGCAGAGUCCAAUUCCAGAAGCUGAGGUGGCGAGCAGGUGGGAGGGAGCCUGUUGGAAUCAGGCCUGGGUGCGACGGGGAUUUGCCCACGCCUGGGGGAGAUCCAGAGUGGCCCCUGGAGCCUGCCCCGGCUGCCCCCGGGGUGCUGGGAGGCCCUGCUGGGCGGAGGGUGGGGGUGGUGGCGGGAAAGACAGACCCCUCUCGGUGGGGAUACCGCGCCUCCCGCAACAGCGCUGGGUGGGGAGGUGCCAAGCCGCUCCUCUCUCCUCUGGGCUAAGGCCUCUCUCUCCACUGACUUCCCUUCCUGCCCCUCUUCCCCUUUGCUCCCCCUGCCCCACCCAGGUCUGUGCUCCCUGAGGAGCUCCUGUUUUGCCCUCUCCUGCCACCAGGCCUCUGGCUCUGCCGUCAGCGGUCAUGACCCUCGAAGGAGAGCCAGCCCUGGCACAGGGCCACCAAGCCCAGUCCUCAGCCUCUCCUGUCCCCUGGAGUCUGGAUGGCGGCCUAGAGGGGGCCGUCCAGCCCAGCCCCUCUGGGGGUCUGCAGGAGUGGGACCCGCUCUUUGCACAUGUGGGACUUUGUCAUUUGUCUGGGCCUGGCUCUUUCCCAGAGGGUCCUCAUUCCUGAGCCUCGGGGACGACGGACUUAUCAGAGUCGGGCCUCUGGCUCCUGGAGGAGGUGUGGUCUCAGGAAAGGCUGAAAACUGGCCUCACCAAACAGGUGAGGCCGUGGAGCCCAUGCAGGCAGGAGAGGGGCUGACCCGGGGUCAGGACUCUGUUCCCCUUCCUCUGGGCUCCAGGCCUCUUCCCCGGCCACCAGGCCCUAUUGGUUUCCUUCCAGGUCUGACCCUCGAUGUAAUUGUUACCCUCCCCAAGGCCCCUGCCGCCAAGCCUCCCCUCCCCCUCCUUCCUCUUUCCUUGGUGACGAUAGUGACAGCACUAACCGAGAGCCCCAGCACCUGCUGGCCACCAGACCCGUGUAGCAUUUGGGGGUGGCUCCCUUUCCUUGAGCACACCCCCCACCGUGGAGGUCAUGAAUUAAUGCCCCAGAGGGAGAGGUCCCAAGUACCCGCGACAAAGUCACCAUGUCCCCAGAAUCUCAUGUUUUUACUUAAAGCAAAAUUCAUUCACAUAUGGUUUUCUCCUCGGUACGGAUUGACGCUUUACGAUAAGUGCUCCCAGAAGGCUUUGCUCACCCCGCCCCAGAGCCUCCUGAGCUGAGCUUCCUGCUCUCAGAAGUUGCUGAUGGCUCAAGGCAUCGAUGUCAGGGUGACCGAGUGACAGCGUGUCACCCGGCGGGCAGGCAGGGGAGCCAGACUCCGAGUCUGGUCUUGGCCAGCACAGGGCAGGGUGGGGACCCUGCUGCCCGAACAAAGGCCUGUUUACCAGGGCAGGAGGAUGUCAGCCUCGGGCAAGCCAGGCCCUGCGGGAUCCACCCACAGACUCACAAUGGGCAGCUUGUGUCCUAGCCAUCCGAUCCUCCCGGGGCUACCCUGGGCCUGGCGCCGUGGACAAGGCAAGCGGGGGGUCGGGACGCGCAAGGAGGAACCUCUGUGUCCUUGGCCAGGCCAGAUGCACGUGUGUGCCUGCGGGUCUGCUGAGACAGCAUGGGCAGAAUAGUGGCCCCAAAGCUGUCCACGUCCUGAUUCUGGAAACUGGGAAUGUGUUACCUUCUGUGGCCAAGGAGGGUCUGUAUCAGAGAGAGGCUGGCUGUGAAUGGAGUGGGGGUGCCACAGGCCAAGGGGUGCGGAGACCUCUAGAAGCUGGAAAAGACCAGGAAACUGAUUCUCUCCUGAAGCCUCCAGAAGGAACCAGUGCCACCCGCACCUUGCCUUUAGCUCAGUGAGACCCUGUAGGACCUCGGGCCCAGGAGACUGUACGGGACUAAAUCUGUGUGGGUGAUCUUUGUUACAGCAGUGACAGGAGCCCCGUGCUCAUCCCGCUCCCCACCAUGAGUCACCGGAGGCCGUUACACCUGGCAGAGCCUGGAACUCCCCACCUGAAUCUCAGGGAGAACCCCUUCCACGAGGGGCUGGGGGAUCAGGUGAGAUGGGGCACACAGGGCCCAGCACAGCGGGAUGGUGUCCGUGUGGCCAGGGCCAGCUCCUUCCUCCCCGUGGUGUGCACAGCCCUGUGACACGUGCUGGGGACACCUUCAAGGACAGUCCCCCACCCUCUCUCAAAGGGCAAAGGUCAGCCACUGGACAGAAGCCUGGUCACGGGGUGCGGCAGCCACUGCGGGAGCAGCGACCGGCUCCGUGGAGCUUGACCGAGCGUCCGCGGGCUGAGUGAGGCCAGAGGAGUUUCCGGAGCGAAGGGCGGCAUCUGAGGGAGCUGUGGAGGCCGUGCGACCCUCCCACACAGAGCCGGGUCCCGUGCAGCCGGCCUGCCACUCGCUACUUGGCCGGUGAUUUUGGACAUGCGUGAUGGCUGCGGCAGGCCGGAGCCUGUACUCGGUGGCCCUCACCGCCUGUCCAGCCAACCCCACGGGGCGAGGCUUCUCCUGCUCCUUUCCACCGAAGCAACACGACCCUGCCAACCGGAGCUUCGUAAGGAGCUGUCCCUGGAGACAGGGUCCUGAGCGGGGGGGUAUCUGGGAGUCGUCCCGGAUGAGGCCCGUGGCCGUGGCAGAGCCCCCAUGGACGGGUUUAACCUCCCGCCGGAGUUAAAGGCCCGGUGGGUCUGUCUCUGGCCCGGGAGUUCUCUGGGAAAGUCGUCUCAGAACUCAGCCAGCAGCAGCCAGAAGGCAGAGAACAACUCCCCACAGAGACCGCCCAGGCCCCUCAGCCCCCGGUGUCCCACAGGUACCCCUGAGAACGAGCAGUCACAGAGCAUGCUGGGUGCCCCAGGGGCCACCAGGCGCUCCCCUACACGACAAACUGGUGAGCCCGAGACCGCUGCCCGAGAGGCCCCCCCCGCCCCCGCUCACCAGCAACUAGAAACGUGGCCUUUGGGGAAGGAAGGGCUACCCCUCCCCGAGCCAGAAACUCAGAUACUGUCCGCCUGGGAAUCUGGGGUGUCUGCUCCGGUUUCCCUCUGCUCUCCUGGGGGUGCUUGGGGGCUCCUGUUGCUGAGAUCUGCUCCCCGGACUCUUCAGAGGCCUGGGGAGAGCGUGUGUCCAUCUGUCCCCAGGGACAGCCCUACCUGUCCUGCCAAUGGCACCAAGACCGGGGCGGCAGGCCUCCUUCCCACACCGGGAGGGAGAGAGGACCACAUCCGGGCCCCUCCUGGGUGGCGGGCGUCCCGGUCUGCUCUUUCACCGCCAGCCCGGGCAGCCCCUGCCGAGCCAGGCACCCCCACUGGUUCCAGGGCGUGGGCACCGACCCCAAGGCCUUCCCCACCCACUCCAUUGUAGGGCUGCAAGCUUAGCACGUGUGCAAGUAUUUGUGGCCAGAUGCCUCCCGUCAGCCCUCCCGGGAGGCCUCCACCAUGAGUCACUGGCUCUGGUCUGGGGUCAGGCAGCAGCGGCCUCGCCCGUUCAGACUUUGGAGGCCUCACCCUGGAGAAGUGGGGCACCGACCCAGCUAGCAGCCUAGAGGGGCUUGGGGGGAAGGGCAAUCGGUCCUGCUCCUGGGCCCUGCCCCUGCUCUGAGUCGCCUGGACUGUGACCCUCAGCGUGGCGGACGAGCUCACGGGCUCUCCAUCCUCGGUUCCUGCCCGCUGUAGAUGAGUCACGGUGACAGCGGAUGGUCCCACCAGGCCUCAUGAUGUGUGGUUCUGUCCUGAGUGGCUCAGCUGUCAGUUUCCAUGCCCGGGGUGGCCAGUCCCGUGGCCAGGAAGAGCCAGGGCGGCUGCUGUCCUUUACCAAGGCAGACCUUCGUGAUGUAGAGCUACCCACAGGUCACAGGGCAAGUGGGGGGAGGGCAGCAGGGAGAGGAAAGGACUCUUAGGGUCUGAGGUGCUUGAUGGGGCCAGGACAGCCCCCCCCAUCAUACAUGAGCCCCCAGGAGUUGGGGGGAACAGCCGCCCAGGUUCUUGUCCUGGCCCUGCCCCAACCGAGCUUGCCCUGGGCCAGCCACCAUCCCCUGGCCUCGGUGUCUUGAUCUGGUCCCGAGACACCAGCUUGGGCCAGUUAGGUGAGCUCAUAAUCAGGACAGGGGACUUGUUCCUCCUGCUCACCCGGCCUCGUGGGCUGAACCGUGGCCCCAGGAGAGAUGUCCACCCAGCCCUGUGAAUGUGACCUUCGUGCAACAAGAGUCUUGGCGGGUGUGAUUAGGGUCAAGAUGAGACCAUCCUGGCCGGUGAGGAGGGGACAUAACCCAGCGACAGAAAAAAGCACACACAGACUCACCGGGAAAAGGCGGAGGUCGGAGGGAUGUGUGGGAGCACCGAGGGCUGUCAGCAAGGCCCCGAGGCUGGGAGAGGACCCCCUCCCCGGAACCCUCAGAAGGAACCGGCCCUGCCCACCCAUGAUUUUAGCCUCCCAGUGCGUUGAUCUGUUACGGCUGCCCCAGAAACAGGUACAAGCACAGAGCCCAACACGGGGCUCAAACUCACAAAACCAUGAGAUCAUGACCUGAGUUGAAACCAAGAGUUGGACGCUUAACCGACUGAAAUGCCCAGAUUCUUGGAUUUUCAGAGGAGUGCAGACUGUGACCAGUGCUCCUUGUAAGCAAGGACAAGGCCGCGGGGACCCACGUGAUAAGGAAGACUCGUGUCCUUGUGCUCGGGACCCAGCCCUGCAGUCUGUGUCACAGACAGCGCACGGGGUCUGGCCUCCAGGCAGCCACGGCAUGGCUGGGGGGACAAGAUCUCCCACCUGGGGCCGAGGGCAGCACAGGACAGCAUGCGCUGGAAAAAGUGGUGGCCCUGAGGCCAGUGGGUGAGCUCUGGGUGAACAUGGGUCCUUCCUGGUCUGGUGCUUGGCGGAGAAAGCUUUCUGAGCAGGUAAACUGAGGCACAUGCCCAGGGCGUUGGGCUGAGGAAAAGAGAGUGUGGGCAGGCCAGAGCUGUGGGAAGGGGGAUUCGAGCUGCCGCGGGUGGUCCCUCGUGGGAGGCUUGUGGGGGGGGGCACCUUCCAGGGAGCGCCCUGGAAGGUGACAGGAGGCCACAGGGUUUUAGCUCUGAGGGGGACAUCGGGGGACACCUUUGCAGCAGGCCCUUUGCAAGGAUACAGUGUCGGAUCUGUGAGGUGACUCACACUUUCCUGCCCCAGAGCGGCAGGGGUGGUGAUAAGGACGGGCUGGGAAGGUCACACGGGGGAGGCGCGAGAGGCAGUGGGGUCACAUAGCUCAAUCCGAACCCGGCUCGGGCUGGAGCCUCCACGGGACACCAAAGAGAAGGUAUCGGGAAGCGGACGUUUCCUCCACGAGCUUUAGUCCCUGUGUUUUUCAGGGGGGUCCUCGGGGGAGGCUUUCAUCUCCGUGAAAUUGCAGGUUCGCCGUGGCGGCCGGGGCUCCUGCCAAGUCCCUCAAUUAGCCAGAGGCCUCUGGUGGCUGUGGGGAGCCCGCUGCGGGAGAGAAUGCGUGCUCCCUCCUCCUGGGGCCCGACCCCGGGAUGCUUGCAUCAUGGAAACUGCUUCUAGAAACCCCAUGGCCUGAGCCGCCCCGCUCCUGGGGAGACCGGAAUGCCAGCUCAGCGGGCAGCACCCGGGCGAGCGUGCCUCCUGCCUCUCCCCCGGGACUCCCCUGGCUCCGCAGGGCUGGUGACCAAGAGCUGUGAUGUCACCGUCACCCUAUGAGGCUGCCAGGCGCCCGGCGUGAAGGCUCCUCCUGGCCAGCUCGGCACUGACGCAAAUCAAAAGCUUCCAGCUCUCUGAGCGGUGGCCACCGUCCUCAGCCGGCAGCUCUGUGGUCCAGCACGGGGCUGGCAGGGGGGAGGGUGGCGGGCAGAGGGCUCCAGCGGGCCUGGCAUCUGAGAUAAUCAGCUGCUUUUUAAAGGGCGGCCAGCGUGGCAUGUGGGGCUCCCCGGAGGUCAAGAGGGGCCAGCCCCGCCCCCCCGCAGCCCCUGGCAAGGUCAGCCCCACGCCGCGGGGCCUCAGGCGUCGCCUGCCAGGCCACCUCCUGCCCCACGUCCCCAGCCAGAGGGUGCCUGGGGUCCUUGGGCUCCGGGCAGGGCUAUUUGCCUGGAGUGGUGCUGGCAGCGUGGGAGGAAGUCAGGCCAGAUGGACCCACCCCAGGGCGAAUGGGGGCAGGGGCCGGGGCAGCCUCCGCACGGCAUCCUGCAGGGCUGGGGUGGGACCCCCCCGCCCCCCCGCCCCCCGCGCAUUGGCCUCUGCCUGGAGCCGCGCUGCCCGGCCCUCCUUGGCUUCCCGGGGCGGUUCGUGGACACGGGACACGUGUCCAGGGCUCCUCCCGGGAGUGUGGGGAGCUGGGCUCGGAGGUCACGGGGACCCGGGGUGCCCUUCCAGACGGCUGUGGAUGAGAGCCACCAUGGGACCCUGACUGCCCUGGAAGAGGCCAGCCUGCCGGAAUGUUCUGUUCUUCCUUAAAGACACACGCACGUGAACACGCUCCCACACCCACACGUGCACGCACAAAUGCAGGUGAGUGUGAGCACAUGCGCACACGCUUACACUCACACGUGGGCACACACGCACGGUGGGUGUGGUUGCUUUCCACGUUCGGAUCAGCACUGGCUUCAAUCAACAGGGCACUUGGCGGGAUUUGACCGCUUCUAGCACAGGACGAGGACCCGCUCCUCUCUUCCUGCCCCCCCCCCCCCGACACCGUGCAGUCAGAACCACAGCCCUCUGGCCUGGACUUGAUGGCCACGGAAGAACAGAAUAUCCAGGGGCCACGAGUAGCCACCCGGGAGGGUGACAGUGAGACAGCAGUGGGGGGUCCGGGUGGAAGGACGCGUCAGGAGCUGAGGACAAUGAUGCCAGGGCCUACCUCCCGGCCACGUUUGCCCUCAACUGGCACCCGGGCCAGAAAGUGCAGUCCCGACGCUUUGGACCGGCCACUGGCAAACAACCCCAGGGCGCGGCAGGAAGCAGCCCUGACCCUCACCCUCCUGCUUGCUCCCCUUGGGUCUCCAGCCUCCAGGGGACCCCUCUCGAGGGUCUGCUGCUGACAUCCUGCCAUCCCAGUCUGCCAGACUCCUCUCCACCGGUCUGGAAGACAGGGCCGCUUCCUGACAGGUGUUCCUCUGCCUCCCACAUCCUGGAAGCUUCCCCAGGGCUGAAAAUGCCUGGUGAGUGGCGGGCCAGCCUCAGGUGGACUAUGUGGGGCCUCCACGGCCCAGAGGUUUCCAGCUGGUGUCCCGCUCAGUUGUCUGAUGGCCGGUCGCCCGUGUCCACCUUGGAGCUGAGUUGGGCCGGGAGAUAGCAGAGUGGGAAGCCCAGAGAACAUUCUAGGCGGGCCUGCCAGGGACAGGGAGUGAGCGCCUCUGUCUGGGAGGCCCGUGGGAGGCUAUUGGUCCAACGGCAUUGCCAGAGGACGUGUGUGAAUCCCAACUCCCGAGGCAGACGGCUUCGGAGGUGUGGGCCACCGCCUGCCUCUGACGCGGCUCGUUCUGUUCGCCUCUGCUUCCUGGCCCGCUGCGGGUGGAGUCCCCUGCCAGGAACGAUGGUGCCACCUGGCUCCAUCCUCGACGCUCUGACGUCUGCACUCCGCCGUUUGGGCCAAGAUGGAAACCAAGCGGAAUGUUCCUGACGUGGGAUCUCCUCGUCCCACGGUCCCGUGGCACCUGGGCCACGUCGAGUGGGAAGGAGAGCCGUCCCUCCCCGGGUCAUCCUUCCCCUCUGGGAGCAUCGUCCACUGUUAGUUUUGGGGGAAAGUGGAGUCUGCAGAACUCUCUGGCCCCUUACGACAGACAGGCAGGAGUGUUGAGACAAGGGCUCAGGUGGUCUGAGUCCUAGCGGGGGCUGAGGACCACACACGGAUCCCCCACCACCUCCACGUGGCUCACACCCACCCCAGCCAUCUCCCACCAAAGUACUUCCGGCACCCCGCCCCCCCGCCCCCCCCCCCCCCGGCUCUAUGGCUGGGACCACGGGCCGCCCCCUGCCCCCAGGACCCAGCUGGGAAGUUGGAAAAGUCUGGCCCCACACCAACCGAAACAUGACCCCAGAAGCCCAGGCUCGGCCCCACUGAUUCAUCGGCGGAGCAAACUUCCUGCCCCCACCUGCCCCCACGCGGCUCACGCUCCUGUCAGCCAGAGCUCGGGGAAAAGGGUGAGGCCCUCCUGCUUGCAUGGCGUCCCGGCUCCGACCCCACGAGGCUGGACAUCUGCUAGGCCGAUGACGGAUGUGACCACAGGCGGACGGUGGGCAUCAGGGCCACAGAAGCCCAGGAUCCGGCGGAAGAGGCCUUAAGAUCAGCGGGCCACGGGGCGCCGUGUGGGACGGCAGGGAUCGAACGCAGCGUCAGCUUUUGAAGUCCUGUGUGGAUCUUCCUGCACAUUAGCAAAAAGCGUAGAGCAUCAAAACCUCGACGGAAGGAUGUCAUCUCUUGUGGCCGAGACUGGUGAGGAGGGCCGUUAGCCCCGGGCUGGCUGAAUGGAAAGCGCCAGGUGCGUCGUGGACCGGCCUGGCUGAAAUUCUGCCGUGGCCGGUGGGUGACGGAGGCGUGGGGUGCAUCGAUCUAGCCCAGGGCUCUGCGAACUGUUUCUGGAAAGGGCCAGAGAGUAAAUAUUUAGGCUCUGUGGCCGGCGGUCUCUGCUGCAUCCUCUCUGUUGCAAAAGUCACAGGAGACACGACGUGGACAAGUGGGCGUGGCCGUGCCACAAUGAAACUUUAUUUAUGGACCUGAAAUUUGACUUUGGUGCAACCUCCACAGGUCGUCUUCCCCUCCCCCCACCCCAGGCACUUACGAAUAUUAAAACCGGGGCACCCGCGUGGCUCGGUCGGUUGAGCAUCUGACUUUGGCUCAGCUCACGAUCUCACGGUUGGUGGGUCGGAGCCCCGUGUCGGGCUCUGUGCUGACAGCUCAGAGCCUGCUUUGGAUUCUGUGUCUCCCUCCCUCUCUCUGCCCCUCUCAAAAUAAAUAAAUAAACUUUAAAAAUAACUAAAUAAAUAAAAUGUUAAAACCCUUCUUGGCCAGGGGUCAGACACAAACAGGCCAGACCUGAGCCGUGGCGGCACAGCCUGUGGGCAGAGUGCAGAUUUCAGAGUUUAACGCUCUCGGUUAGGACGGGGUGACAGUCCCAGAGGCGGGGGACUUGCCCAGUCCACGACUGCAGUGGCAGAGACUGGUCCGAGGCCCAGCCCUGCACUCAGAUGCACUUACUGCUUCUGUUUUCUGGGGCUGUCGAUGGGGGUGGGGGGAGCUGGUAGUGGCUGUUGGACCUGUGUGACACCCUCCUCAACUCAGCAGCACCCUCUGUUCCUUCAGGAGCAGGAGUGGUCCGACUCUGGGUGGUUCUGGAGGCAGCCCGUCUCAGAACCAGCCCCCAAGGACCCCAGAGACCCACACGGCAACCCCAGGUUGGCCAAAGUAGCACCGUCUCCCGGCAGAUGCACUGGCCCAGGGGGCGGCUGACCAGCAGGAGCCUCGGGGCCAUCCCUGGACAUGGGGAGGAAGGGGCUGUAGUUCCUCUGGGGUCUUGAAGCUGGACCACCUUGCAGGCCUUGGGGGGCCGCGGCCAGGACCCCCUCCUCCAGGCAGCUGAAGGAGUCCCAUCUGCAGAGGAGAGAAAGAGCCCCCACCGGGACAGGAAUGUGGACCCUGCCCUAGAGUGCCUACAGCGGAGCCCAGAACACUCACUAGCCUUGCUCCUGCAUGUGGCCUGCCCCUCGCAGACGCCCUGCCACUCACACCCGAGGCCCUCCCCUCGGUGCCUCUGUGGCUUGAGGCCCUGAUCGGCCCUCAACCCCUCC
This is a long non-coding RNA of Acinonyx jubatus (cheetah), 10950 nucleotides long. RefSeq lists it as uncharacterized. The record is from RefSeq and is a predicted model, not a curated record. The transcript is spliced from 3 exons. NCBI's taxonomy places the organism in Eukaryota, Metazoa, Chordata, Mammalia, Carnivora, Felidae.